AGUUAGUGGCGGACGGGUGAGUAACGCGUGGAAAACCUGCCGUAUACUGGGGGAUAACACUUAGAAAUAGGUGCUAAUACCGCAUAAGCGCACAGCUUCGCAUGAAGCGGUGUGAAAAACUUUGGUGGUAUACGAUGGUUCCGCGUCUGAUUAGCUAGUUGGUGGGGUAAUGGCCUACCAAGGCAACGAUCAGUAGCCGGCCUGAGAGGGUGAACGGCCACAUUGGGACUGAGACACGGCCCAAACUCCUACGGAAGGCAGCAG
This 264-nucleotide ribosomal RNA is filed under the name uncultured bacterium. Its description in RNAcentral is "partial 16S ribosomal RNA". It matches the Rfam family "Bacterial small subunit ribosomal RNA", at positions 90 to 354 of the family's 1533-position model. The record is from RNAcentral.